AGCAGCCGCGGUAAUUCCAGCUCCAAUAGCGUAUAUUAAAGUUGUUGCAGUUAAAAAGCUCGUAGUUGAAUUUCGGGAUCAGUACGCUGGUCGUGCCUUUGGUAUGUACUGGUGUCACUGAUUCCUCCCUUCUGAAGAACCGUUAUGCCAUUUAUUUGGUGUGGCGGGGAAUCAGGACUGUUACUUUGAAAAAUUGAGUGUUUAAAGCAGGCUCGCGCUUGAAUACAUUAGCAUGGAAUAAUGAAAUAGGACGUUUGAUCUUAUUUUGUUGGUUUCUAGGAUCGACGUAAUGAUUAAUAGGGAUAGUUGGGGGCAUUAGUAUUCAAUUGUCAGAGGUGAAAUUCUUGGAUUUAUUGAAGACUAACUACUGCGAAAGCAUUCGCCAAGGAUGUUUUCAUUAAUCAAGAACGAAAGUUAGGGGAUCGAAGACGAUCAGAUACCGUCGUAGUCUUAACCAUAAACUAUGCCGACUAGGGAUCGGAUGAUGUUAAUUUUAAUGA
Molecule: ribosomal RNA, 500 nt
Filed under: uncultured Glomus
Lineage: Eukaryota; Fungi; Glomeromycota; Glomeromycetes; Glomerales; Glomeraceae
Description: SSU rRNA
Rfam family: Eukaryotic small subunit ribosomal RNA
Source: RNAcentral